Molecule: ribosomal RNA, 253 nt
Filed under: uncultured bacterium
Lineage: Bacteria
Description: partial 16S ribosomal RNA
Rfam family: Bacterial small subunit ribosomal RNA
Source: RNAcentral
UACGGAGGGUGCAAGCGUUAUCCGGAUUCACUGGGUUUAAAGGGUGCGUAGGCGGGCAGGUAAGUCAGUGGUGAAAUCCUGGAGCUCAACUCCAGAACUGCCAUUGAUACUAUCUGUCUUGAAUAUUGUGGAGGUAAGCGGAAUAUGUCAUGUAGCGGUGAAAUGCUUAGAUAUGACAUAGAACACCCAUUGCGAAGGCAGCUUACUACGCAUAUAUUGACGCUGAGGCACGAAAGCGUGGGGAUCAAACAGG